This 206-nucleotide ribosomal RNA is filed under the name uncultured bacterium. Its description in RNAcentral is "partial 16S ribosomal RNA". It matches the Rfam family "Bacterial small subunit ribosomal RNA", at positions 568 to 773 of the family's 1533-position model. The record is from RNAcentral.
UGCGUAGGCGGUUGUUUAAGUCUGACGUGAAAUCUCCGGGCCUAACCCGGAAACUGCGUUGGAUACUAUUCGACUAGAGGAAUGGAGGGGAGACUGGAAUACUUGGUGUAGCAGUGAAAUGCGUAGAUAUCAAGUGGAACACCAGUGGCGAAGGCGAGUCUCUGGACAUUUCCUGACGCUGAGGCACGAAAGCCAGGGGAGCAAAC